Molecule: long non-coding RNA, 11408 nt
Filed under: Theobroma cacao (cacao)
Lineage: Eukaryota; Viridiplantae; Streptophyta; Magnoliopsida; Malvales; Malvaceae
Description: long non-coding RNA (TCAC_LNC004099)
Source: RNAcentral
CCGACCGUAUUUGAGAAGUGGGCAAUGGAAUGGGAUAAAGUUCCUAGGGAUGCCACAUAUGUCUGCAGUAUAUACUAAUGGAAUUAGCAUUGUAUCGGAUAGUCAAGAGGGUAGUCAGUAUGUUGCUCUCAAUUUUUUCAACACCUCUCUCAUUAAAGUCGUGUUCCUUUCACCAGAAGGAUAUCUGCAGCUAAUUAUUUGGGAUGAAGGAGAGAAAGAAUGGAGAGUUCAAUUACAGGAACCGGAGAGCCAAUGUGACAUUUACGGAGCUUGCGGUCCUAAUGGAAUUUGUAAUAAAGAUAAGUCUCCAAUUUGUAGGUGUUUGGAAGGGUUUGAACCAAGCUCAAGUGAAGAGUGGAGCAGAGGGAACUGGACGAAUGGAUGUGUAAGACGAGUUGAACUUAAUUGUGACAAGAACAUAAGCUUAUUAGCCUCAAGCCGGAAUAAAACUGAUGGAUUUUUGAAAUUGAGUGGGCUGAAACUGCCAGCUCAUUCCCAGUAUCUGAAAUUUGAAGUGGAUACAGAAGCUUGCAAAUUCUCGUGCUCGAACAACUGCUCUUGCGUGGCAUUUGCGUCUGUGACAGGAAUCGGGUGUAUGCUUUGGACUGAAGAUCUUAUGGAUGUUCAGGCCUUCUCAUCUACAGGAGAGGAUCUCUUCGUUCGUGUUGCACAUGCAGAACUAGGUACUUUACACAUACAAUUCUUCACCUGAACUCAGAUUAUGAGGUUUGCAUACAUCUGUCUCCCCGUUGGUUUGUUUACCUUCAAAUUUUAAAAUUUUCUCUAGGUAAGGAGAAGCACAAAUCGAAGGUAAUCUUCCCUGUUGCAGCUAGUUGUACUUUGAUCGUCUUGAGUACAUUAUUAGUGUAUGGUUUCUUCAGGUAUAGAGCUAACCACAAAGGUAAGAGCACUGAUGUAUUUUUCACAGCUACUUAAAUUUAUUCAAGCGUUUUGAGCAUAUUAAUCUCUUGUGUUUUGAAAGUUGUUCAAAUAAAGCAUUGCAGAUCAUGCGGUUUAUGUAUAAAGCUUAAUCAUGAUUAUUCAUAGCUAACUUGAGAAAAACUGCAGUAGAAAUUUUAGGUCCAAAAUUCAAAGUAUACUGAUGGACCUUCCAAUAAUUAAGCCGUGUAAGCCACCUGUCCACCUUGAUUUGUGGUAAUGGAUUAUUGCCAGUCAAGAGGGAAAGGUUGAGCUGUCAGGUAUAGAAAAUUUGGCUCGUUCAACAGAAAUCUCUAAGCCAUGCAGCUCCAAGAAACUUGUUUCCUGUACUACCCUUGACGAUUGACAUUUGGGGGCUUAAUUACUUUGACUUCUCUUUAGCAUUUUUCUCCAAUAAACUGACUGAAAAGUUCCUUGUUAUUGAGUAGUUAAUUAGAUUAAUUAUAUGCAAUUUGAGUAUAAUUUAGUAUAUAAUAUUUUAAUAACGUUAGGUUGCUGAAUUAUACAUAGAGCCUGGCUGUCUCAUAAGAAUUAUAUCCUUUAAGACCAGUAUGUCAAUAAAUCCUGCCAAAUCAAGAUAUGUCACAGUGUUAGGCUCCAUAUCGGAUUCUAGUUGGUCUAGGCCAAAUUACUCAGUUUCGCGCCUAUUUAAGAAAAAGAUCUGCUAACUUUAAAGGUAUGAUGGCUCAAUGUCUAUACUUAGGGGAAAGCAGAGAAGCUUUGCAUGAAUCUGAUUCUGCUGAUGCAACUAACCCUUUGAGAGACACUCGAAAAGGAAUAGCAGGGAGCAACAUCAUAAAACAAAAAGAUUCGUUGAUAUUUGAUUUCAACCACGUAGUUGUUGCUACCGACAACUUUAGCCUAACGAACAAGCUUGGCGAAGGGGGAUUUGGACCUGUUUAUAAGGUAUCACUCCUUUUUACUAUUUCUUUUUGCUUGUAGAUGUACAAGGACACCAUAGACUGAUAUAUGUCACACAAGAGCAGGGAAAGCUGCAGAAUGGAAAGGAAAUAGCCGUGAAGAGACUUUCUAGUCACUCAGGACAGGGCAUGGAGGAAUUCAAGAACGAGAUUGUGUUUAUUUCCAAACUCCAACAUAGGAAUCUUGUUAAGCUUUUGGGUUGCUGUGUUGAAGGGGAGGAAAAACUGUUGAUCUAUGAGUACAUGCCGAACAAGAGCCUGGACACAUUUCUCUUUGGUUAACUCCCUUUUUCACUUAUUCAUCCCUAUUAUUUUAUAACACAACUUAUAACUGACUUUGUCAAAAAUUUCCAUGAUCUGAUUAGAUCCAACAAGAAAAACACAGCUAGUUUGGGCUAAGCGCUUCAGCAUUAUUCAGGGUAUUGCCAGAGGGCUUGUUUAUCUCCAUCGUGAUUCCUUUCUAAGGGUCAUUCACCGUGAUCUGAAGGCUAGCAAUGUUCUUUUGGAUGAAGACAUGAACCCAAAAAUUUCAGACUUCGGAUUGGCUAGAACUUUCCAAAAGACUCAAGAGCUAGCAAAUACUCGCAGAGUAGUGGGAACAUUGUAAGCAUUACUUGUUUGUUUUAUUAGCAGAUUCAAUGAACAUUCAUCUUGAUAAUCCACUCCCAUAAGGAGUAGUAAUGCAUUAAAUUGUUGUCUAGUGUAACAUGAAACUUGCAACCUAAUUUGUAAAUAGGUUCAUGUACAUAUAAUCACUUAACUAGGUAUUGGCUUGUUCAAAUGUACCUCAAAAUCCAGAUAACUUUUAACGACUUUGGCAUUGAAGUAAACAAGCAUUAAAUAUUCCAAUCAAUGCAGGGGCUAUAUGUCUCCUGAGUACGUCAUAGGAGGGAGGUUUUCAGAGAAAUCUGACGUCUUCAGCUUCGGGGUCUUGCUACUCGAGAUUGUCAGCGGCGAGAAAAAUUCAGGCUUCCAGAAUGAUGAACACCAAAACCUUCUUGGUUAUGUAUGCUUCAAAGUUAAAACACUUUCAUCUUUGCAUAUUCCUUCUGGGAUUCUUUUAGUAAGUGAAAUCUACAUUGUUUCAGGCUUGGCGGUUGUGGUGUGAAGGUAGAGUGCUUAACUUGGUUGAUCAAGCCUUAGGGGACUCAUUCUGCAAUGUAGAAGUAAUGCGAUGCAUACACGUUGGGCUUCUCUGCGUCCAGGAAAAUCCUGCAGACAGGCCUAGCACGCCAGCCGUGAUUCUCCAGCUUACCAGUGGAACGAGCCUUCCACAACCAAAGCAACCUGCAUUUGCUUUUGACAAUUCACGGUACUCCUCUCAUAGAUCAAAUUCUAAUAGCUAUAUAGGCUCCGUGAACGAGGUCACAUUGUCAGCGACUGAAGGUCGAUAAUUGAUGAUGAACGGAUUGUUUCUAUUUUUCUUUUUAUUUACAGAAUUAGCAACUCCUAUUUUAAAAUUUUUCUUACAUUUCUUAUGAUCAUUAUUUUCAUCUUCCCACUCUUUCGAUAAAGAACAAAUUUUACUUAAUUGGAUGGAUAUUUUCAACAAUAAUAAGCUUGAGAUAUAAUUUUCAUUUAAACAAAUAAAGAAAAAAAGUUUUUGAAAUAAGAGAAGUUUAGGUCUUUAAUAGUAUAACUAAAAUGGGUUAAAGAGCAAAUAGGGACUCUUAUAAUUUAAUAAGAAGAUAAAAAAACGAUUUUAACAAUAUUUCAUUCUUUUCUCUAUAUUCUCCACAUCUUUUUAUACUAUUUUAUUACAAAAAAACUUUAUAAAAAUUUAAUAAUUUUACCAUACACUAGUGACUCUUCAAUGUAUUGAUUUUGUUAGCUCAAAAAUAAUUAAUUAUCAAGUUUCAUUGUAUUCUCGAGAUUUUAUCAUCUAUAAUCUUAUUCGCGAGGUGAAUAAAGCAAUGGAUCUCGUUGACACCUUGAUUCCGGAUCCAUGCUCUCCAACUGCAGUGUUGAAAUGCAUACACAUAGGCAUAAUGUGUGUGCAGGAUAAUGCAAUGCACACACUAACAAUGGCAGCCAUGGUGCUAAUGCUUGAGAGUGAAACUCCAACGCUUCCAAUGCCUAGACAACCCACAUACACUUCCAUGAGGAGUUCUCUAGGUGCAGAAUUCACCAUGGAUGGUCAAGAAAUUGUAUCUUCAAAUGACGUCACGGUGACAAUGGUAGUUGGAAGAUAGAUUGAUUUGUUACUUACCCUUCCAUUGUUUUCAUAUUACACCAUUCAAAAUUUUCCUGAACCUGGUGUUUUCUGCUUCUCUUGUUUGAAGUUGUAGAGUUGUUCCAUUAAAGCCCGCUCAGCUACAAGGGGUAGGCCGGUUGAAUGGAUUAGUGCAGGAAGCAGGGGAAACACUUAAUUAUCAAAGAAUUGUACAUGCAGUCAAACUUUAAUGGGAUAGAAUUGUAAUUAUAUAAGGUUUUUUUUUUUCUUGGGUUCAUUGUAACUGAGAUUUUUCACUUGUUAAUGCGAGAUUAAUUACUCAUACAAUUUCCCCUGUUUCCAACAAUGAGUACUCAUAAAGCAGAAAGCAGUCAUUUACUUAGCCCAUGCCCACCCUCCCAGAAGACAAGCGAGAGAACCCUAGUUUUCAGCCUUUGGGCCAUUUGUUUUCUAAUAUGAAGGAAGGCCCAUUUUAGCUUAUUCUAUUUUGUGGCUGAGAAGAACAGCAAUUAAAAAUAAGAAAAACAAGGUGGAAGUAUGUGAUCAAUGUAUUAGUCUUUUCAGAUAAUUGUACAAUUAUCUAAUCAUAACAAAAAAUUACAAAGAAUUGUAAACUUCAUAUAAUAUUUUGAUAGAUGUUAUAUAAUCUAGGAUUAUAAUUUAUUAAUUAUCAUGUAAUAAUUGCACCAAAUAUACUUUUUAAUUUGGUAUUACGGACGGAAAACUACCAAUAAGAAAGAAGAAAGAUCUCUCUAAUUAACUGUCCUAAUUACCAAUUCAAUCGUUUCCGUUAUCAUACACUUGAAAUCCUAGAGUUGACUGAGAGCAACAAGUUCGACAGAUGAAUGAGCCGUGGAGAGACCGCAAGCUCGGUUUUCUUAAGUUGCAUGUAAUGGGGUUAUUUCGGGGUAUCUACCAUCGGUGGAAAAACGACUAGUCGUAUGGGACCAAGGACAUGGACUCGUUAACACAUUUGUUAACUUUCAUUGGUUUUGGAAUGGCGGGGAUAAAGAAUUGAGACCUUGCAUUUAAUAAACUAUUCCAAGCUUGUAGUUUAGAAAUAGAAGUCUCAGGAUCUUUGAUUCUCUCAGAAACUGAUUUCCAAGAUGGGUGGUGAAAAGAGAAGUAGAGUUUUGCUUUCUUCCAUGUCCCUCUUGUUCAACUUGCUUCUGUUACAUUGCUGCGCUGCAACUAAUAACAUAACUCUAUCCAGGCCAUUAUCACAAGACCAAAUCCUUACCCCCCAGGCCAAUUUUUUGUGCUAGGCUUCUUUCAGCCUAACAAUUCUGCCAAUCAAUAUCUGGGAAUAUGGUAUAAAUGUAAUUCCCCAACCUAAAAAUAGGAUUACAUUAGUAUGUUUACUAAAUCCUAAAUUUGACAAAUAGGUUUUAUUGAAAUUACUUUAAAAAUAUUUGGGUUUAUAAUAGAAUAGUUGUGUAUUAAAAACCUUUUAGCAAACAGAGUGGUUUUAUUUUAAUUGGAGUCAAAUUACAUUCUCACGUUAAAAAAAAAUACAGUCAAUUAUAUCUUAUCAUAUUUUUUAAAAAAAAAGAAAAGAAAAUCAAUUAGUUUUAAAAAAAUCAAUAAGGCAUGUUUAAAUAAAAGCAGUUUACACAUUUAAAGGAAAAGAGGUAAGGCCAAUUAUUUUAUCACAUACGAGGAAGUUAAAAGUCAGUUUUCAUUAAUACGUUUAAAGAAAAAAAUAUAGAGAAGGAAAAAAACAAACCAUUUGNUAUUUUUAAAAAAAAAGAAAAGAAAAUCAAUUAGUUUUAAAAAAAUCAAUAAGGCAUGUUUAAAUAAAAGCAGUUUACACAUUUAAAGGAAAAGAGGUAAGGCCAAUUAUUUUAUCACAUACGAGGAAGUUAAAAGUCAGUUUUCAUUAAUACGUUUAAAGAAAAAAAUAUAGAGAAGAAAAAACCAUUUGGGAGAAACUAAUCCUAGAGAAGAAGAAGGUAGAAAAAGGAAAAUCUACUCAAGAAAGCAUUGUUUAAGAUAUGAUUAGGCUUCAAAUUAUGAGAAUUUUGUACUUUUCAUUGUUUGAAUGCAAAAGCCCUAGGUUAUUUUAUGUUUCUUCAAUUUCCAUCCAAAUCUAGUACUGUUCUGAUGACUUUCCAGCUACAUGAUGGGUACCAAUGGAAAUGUUUUAAAAGAUCUUUCUAAUGGUUUUUGUAGCAUCUCAUUUAGCUUUGUGGUUAGGAAGAUACAAAAUUUAAAGCUGACUAGAAACUUAGUUUUCAAUAGUUUUGACGACCCAACUUUGGGUCAACGGAACUUCAUAUUUUGGUAACAUUUUGGGGCAUAUCUUUGAAGGCUUUUGUAGUAUAAAAUGAGAUGUUUAAUUUGGCAUCAAUGGCUCGAUUAGAAGCUUCCUGUGUUAAAAGAAUUAAAGCUUCAAAAUAGGCUUGUUGAUAGUGGAAACUCAGAAAUCUAGGUAUUUUUGUGAUGAUUUUUAAACUUUUGACUUCUAUAACUUGUGAAUUUUGCAAUCUUUUUCAUCAAAACAAUUUUUAAUGUUAUAGUGUGACAUAAAUGCUUCAAUUUGGUUUUGAGUUUAUCACUGGAAAUAAUUCGGAUUAAGAGUUAUAAGAUCGAAGUAAGUCAAAUGGUCAUAAAAAUAUAAAAUUUUAGAAUUUAUAAAAAUUCAUUGUUAGUUAUUUUAAAAAUUAUUCUUGACUUAUAUUCAACCUAUUUUGCUAGAAACUUCAGAAAAUUAAGCAACUUAAAUUUUAGUGAAUUUUUGUAUAAUAAAUAUUUAUUUGACAAAUUAUUAUUGAAUUAGCAUAUUUUGGAAAUUUUAUUGGAAAUCUUCAAGAACUAAAUUUUGAUUUGUAUUUGAAGUAUUUCCACCCAAUCACAUAUUGUUGCUGAUUUUGUACUAUAAUCUAUGAGUUUGUAAGUUUUGAAUGUUUUAUGUAUUUAUAAAUUAUUAAAAAAUUCAAAUUGAUUUCGAUUAGCGAAAGAGGUGCUACACUCUAAAAUGCCUUAAAAUGACUAGUAGAGAGUCAUGGUUCGUUUUGAUAAGUUAGAAAUGCUAGUUUCUAAUUUCGAGUAUUUUGAAUUAAUAGGUUCCGAGAGGAUUCUAACUCUUUGCUUUUUGAUUUUGGUUUUAACGAAUCUAAUAAGUGAUUGAUAUCCCUUUUGUGCUUUCACAUCCUAAAAAUUAGCCUUAAUGUGAAAUUGAAUUUCAUAUAUUAUGUAUAAUAUAUUUUAUCCUAUAAUUUAUAAAAAUCGAAUUGAGCAUGCAAAAUGUAUAUAUAUGAUUUUUAUAUAUUGGAUUUUGGAAUGUGAAUUUUUUUGUGAAAUAUGAUUUCUGAUUUUAAAAUAUUAAUAUGAUUUUUGUUUAACAUAUGCAUAUAUGACUAUCUUAGUGAUUACAUAUGUAAAUACUUAAUUUGAAAUAAAUAUGCUUUGAUGUAUACGAUAUGUGUUUUGUGAAAGUGAAUAUUACGGUUUUGUGAAAGUGAAUAUUACUGUUUUGUGAGUUUGAGUAAUCAGAAACUAUAUUUUGUUUUAUCUUCUAGUAUGACUAUGUUAUGAUCUUGCUAAUGCGGGUUAAACGUAGGCUAUGUCGACAUUUAUUAUAUGAUUAGAGAUCGAUCUCUCAACCGCAUCACCGAUUACAAAAUAGUUAUACUUGUAAUGUCUGUUCAGAGCAGCCAAUGAUUGCUUUUGAUAUAAUUAUGACCCAUGUCACUGGAGUUAAUUGUGGUUUUGAUAUGAUGCCACUAAGAUUAAUUGUAGUUUCUAUUAUGAUUACGACUUAUGCCAUUGAGAUAAGUAUGACCAUUGUAUGUUACAAGAAAUCAAUAAAAAUUUGAAAUUAGUGUGAAAUUAUAUUUUGUUUGGUUAUAUGAAAGUUUUGAAAUUAUAUUAGCUAUGUUAUCUUAAGUGAAAUUAUAUUUAUUUUUAUAAUUUAAAAAUAAAAUUUUAAAAUAUAUGUUUUUGAAUGAGAUUAUUCAAAAUUUGUCUUCUUCUAUGGAAGGGAGGCCUAUUUUAGCCCAGCUUGUUCUAUUGCUUAAUGAAUUGCAAAUAUCUCCUUUUAUCUUAUUCUUUCAUAUCACACCAAGGCCCUAAGUAUAAUUAAAUAAUCACAGGUUUUCUUUCACACUUCAAAAAGCAUAAUUAAUCAUCCGAAACUUUAAAGUAAAAAAUUACACAUGAAAAGGGUUUAAAAAGACUUUUGUGGCAAAGAAGAACAUCCAAUUAAAAGUAAGAAAAAUAAAGUAGACCUAGAUGAUUAAUAUAUUAAUCUUUUUAAAUAAUUAUAUAAUUAUCUAGUUAUUACAAAAAAAUAUGUACGAAAUUUUCAUUUAUAAUUAUAAGUUUCAUAUAAUAUAUUUUGGUAGACAUUAUACAAUUUAGAAUUGCCUUUCAGAAAAAAAUACAAUUUCGAAUUGUAAUUGAUUAAUGUUAAUGUAAUAAUUGCAGGAGAUAUGUUUUUUAAUUUGGUAUAUUAGAUGAAAAGCUGCUAAUGAAAAAGAAUUAAGAUCUCUAUAAUCAACCGUCAUAAUUACCAAGUCAGCGGUUUUCUUUAUCACACACUUCAAAUCAGAUUUGACCAAAAGCAACAAGUAGGACAGAUAAUGGAGAAACAGCAAGCUCGGGUUUCUUAACGUGUUGUUUGGGGUAUCUAAACCAUGGAAAAAAAUACAAGUCAACUGGGACCAGUCAAGGACAUGAAUUUCUGGACACGUUUCUUUACUUUUGUUGGUUUUGGGAGCGAGGGGGAUAAAGAAUGGGGAACUUGCAUUUAAGAAACUAAUCAAAGCUUGUAGUUUAAGAAUAGAAGUCUCAGGCACAUUAGCUUGAUUGACUCAAAUUCUGUUAUGUACUUUCACCAUGUAGCUAUUUUUGUUUUGUGAUCGACAUGCUUGAAGACAGAUGAGCAUUUUCGAUGUCUGUGUUUUUUCCUUUUCUCUUUUACUCAAAUUGCUUUUCGUCAAGUUUUGCACCGCCAUAGAUGUGUUAACCCCAUCUCAAGCACUCCCACAGGCCACAGGGACAAACUCUAACCUCCUCUGGCAACGUCUUUGAGCUCGGCUUUGUGAGUUUUAAUAACUCUAGCCUUUAUUACGUAGGAAUUUGGUACAAGAAUAUUGUCCCUCGUANNNNNNNNNNNNNNNNNNNNNNNNNNNNNNNNNNNNNNNNNNNNNNNNNNNNNNNNNNNNNNNNNNNNNNNNNNNNNNNNNNNNNNNNNNNNNNNNNNNNNNNNNNNNNNNNNNNNNNNNNNNNNNNNNNNNNNNNNNNNNNNNNNNNNNNNNNNNNNNNNNNNNNNNNNNNNNNNNNNNNNNNNNNNNNNNNNNNNNNNNNNNNNNNNNNNNNNNNNNNNNNNNNNNNNNNNNNNNNNNNNNNNNNNNNNNNNNNUUCCUAACCAAAUCACUUGAAAUAAAAUCAAAUCCACCAUCAACAUACCAUAAGGAAGAUUCGGCCAAUGAGGGUGAUGGAAGAACAUGAAUUUUUCUUGUUUGCUUUUCAUGCUACACAUCACCAACCAACUAAAAACACUAGAAUAACAUGUUUUCUAACUAAAUUCAUCAUCAAAUCUUCUCCCCCUAGGUUCGGCCAAUAAGGGAUCCAUCAUGAAAUCAUGAAUUUCAACCAUGAAAAAUGAGAAAGAAUGCUUAGGAAAGAUAGAUCUCAAGCUAAAGUUGAAAAAUCUUACCUCUUGUCACUUCAUUCCUUGAAAUUCCAAAAUUUUCUCUUGAAUUUUUCUAACUAGGUUUUGUUCUUUCUUUCUUUCUUUCCUCUUUUCCUUGGUGAGGCCGAACAUAUGGGAGUGAAAUGGGAGAGUCAUGUGCUGAUUUUUAAUGUAAAUUAUAAAGAAAUAAAAGCUUGCCACUUGUCACCAUCCAUUAGUCCAUGUUUAACACUUAACUACUAAGCUUUCUUUCACCACCACAUAAAAUAUCUCAAUUAUCCAUAAUAUAAAAUGUUAAUGGAUGAAAUCCCUAGGCAUGACAAGUGUUGGGUGGUGUAAAAUUUCAAUUUUGCCCUUAGGUGGCAAAAUGAUCAUUUUGCCCCUACGUCAUGAAAAUUUCAAUUUGACUCCAAAUCAAUCCUCGAACUCCGAAUAACCAUAUUAAGUCAUUAUGGGUUUUUAAAAUUCUCAAUUUCAUCUUAAAAUCUCUAUUUGGGCUAAUUCGAGGCUUAAUUCAACUUAGUUGUACCACUAGGUUCACUACCGACUUUUAACGAUUUUUCGGGGCUUUCCAAGUAUGCAAACAUAUUUUCAAGCACAUGAAUGAUAUGGCAAAUAUUUUAUAGAGUUGGGCUUGACAUGUAAUGAAUAUAUAUAUACAUAAUUGUAUAAAUAUUAUAUAUAUAUUUAUUUAAUUUAUACAUAAAUAUUAUUAUUAAAAUAUAAGUAAUUAAAUUAUAUUAAAAUAUUGAUAUUUAAAUUAUUAAUAUUUUAAUUAAUUAUAAAUUAUUAAUAUUUAAAAAUAAAAUAAAAAAAUAAUUAUAUAUAAUAAGGGUAUUUUUGUCUUUUUAUUUUCUAUUCCUUUCUUAUUCAAAAGCUAUUGUUACCAACCAAACACUGUAAUAAGUCAUAAUAAUUAUUCCUAUUCUAUUCCAUUCAUCAUACCAAACUACAUAAUACUUAUUUUAUUCUAUUCCCACCUCAUUCUAUUUCCACGUAAUAACUAUUCUAUUCUAUUCCUAUCUAUUCCGCGAACCAAACGUGCCGGUAGAGUUUUAUGGGUGGCCAACAGAGAUAAGCCCCUCACCGACUCAUUGUCCUCAAGUCUAAUGAUAGCGGGUGAUGGAAAUCUGAAGCUCAUGAAUGGCAUGCAAGACAUUGUCUGGUCAACCAAGGUUCCUAUCCAAUCAAAUAAUUCGGUUGCGGUGCUUUUGGAUAGUGGGAAUUUUGUUCUGAAGGAUAACUCCUCGGGACAGAUCUAAUGGGAGUGCUUUAGACAUCCUGGUGAUACUUUUUGGUCCGGAUGAUAGGUAUGAAUGUUAAAACUGGUGAGAAACGAUUCCUGAUUUCCUCGAAAAGUAAGGACGACCCAUCGCCUGGUAGUUUUGUUGGUGGAACUGGAGCACAGAGUGGUCCGAUAAUAGAAGGUUUUAUUUGGAAUGGAACCCGACCGUAUUGGAGAAGUGGGCAAUGGAAUGGGAUAAAGUUCCUAGGGAUGCCACAUAUGUCUGCAGUAUAUACUAAUGGAAUUAGCAUUGUAUCGGUUAGCCCAGAGGGUAAUCAGUAUGUUACUCUCAAUGUUUUCAACACCUCUCUCAUUAAAGUUGUGUUCCUUUCACCAGAAGGAUAUCUGCAGAUAAUUAUUUGGGAUGAAGGAGAGAAAGAAUGGAGAGUUCAAUUACAGGAACCGGAGAGCCAAUGUGACAUUUACGGAGCUUGCGGUCCUAAUGGAAUUUGU